GCACUGCUGAGGAGUCCCAAUAUAGGGCGAAACGGCCGUCCAGUGC
This is a non-coding RNA of Schistosoma haematobium, 46 nucleotides long. The record is from Rfam. Lineage: Eukaryota; Metazoa; Platyhelminthes; Trematoda; Strigeidida; Schistosomatidae.